UACGAAGGGGGCUAGCGUUGCUCGGAAUCACUGGGCGUAAAGGGUGUGUAGGUGGGUUUUUAAGUCAGGGGUGAAAUCCUGGAGCUCAACUCCAGAACUGCCUUUGAUACUGAAGAUCUUGAGUCCGGGAGAGGUGAGUGGAACUGCGAGUGUAGAGGUGAAAUUCGUAGAUAUUCGCAAGAACACCAGUGGCGAAGGCGGCUCACUGGCCCGGUACUGACGCUGAGGCACGAAAGCGUGGGGAGCAAACAGG
RNAcentral lists this ribosomal RNA (253 nucleotides) under uncultured bacterium. RNAcentral's name for it is "partial 16S ribosomal RNA". It matches the Rfam family "Bacterial small subunit ribosomal RNA", at positions 524 to 776 of the family's 1533-position model. The record is from RNAcentral.